RNAcentral lists this ribosomal RNA (478 nucleotides) under uncultured bacterium. RNAcentral's name for it is "bacterial SSU rRNA". It matches the Rfam family "Bacterial small subunit ribosomal RNA", at positions 19 to 518 of the family's 1533-position model. The record is from RNAcentral.
CUGGCUCAGAAUGAACGCUGGCGGCAUGGAUUAGGCAUGCAAGUCGAACGCACUCCCUUCGGGGAGAAAGUGGCGAAAGGGUGAGUAACACGUGAGCAACCUGCCUCCGGAUCCGGAAUAAUCCAGGGAAACUUGGUCUAAAACCGGAUGAAGACAUUGGGCCGCAUGGUCUGGUGUUAAAAAUAUUUAUAGUCCGGAGAGGGGCUCGCGGCCCAUUAGCUUGUUGGCGGGGUAAUGGCCCACCAAGGCUACGACGGGUAGGUGGUCUGAGAGGAUGGUCACCCACACUGGGACUGAGACACUGCCCAGACUCCUACGGGAGGCUGCAGUCGAGAAUCUUCCGCAAUGGGCGCAAGCCUGACGGAGCGAUGCCGCGUGAGGGAUGAAGGCCUUCGGGUUGUAAACCUCUGUCAUCCGGGACGAAAACAAUGACGGUACCGGAAAAGGAAGCCACGGCUAACCACGUGCCAGCAGCGGC